Drosophila ananassae is the source of this 1651-nucleotide long non-coding RNA. RefSeq lists it as uncharacterized. The record is from RefSeq and is a predicted model, not a curated record. The transcript is spliced from 2 exons. NCBI's taxonomy places the organism in Eukaryota, Metazoa, Arthropoda, Insecta, Diptera, Drosophilidae.
AAUAUUAAAAUUGCAAAAAAAUCGCUCGAAAGCCACAAAAAUCACAGCCAAAAUGCACAAAAGAAUAUUUUAGCUGAAAAUGCAGUGGACGGACUAUUAAUAUAUAUAAAAAAUUCAAUUCCGUUUUUUCGGGAAUUUAUUUCCCGCUCCGCCCAUCAAUAACCGGAAGAUUUUUGAUGAACUUGCCAAAGUUUAUUAAAAAAAAGAAGGACAAUAGAGGACAUUCCAACUCCCUCCGACUGUAGCCAGUUAGUCAGCUGAUAUUUUAUUCAUUUCAUUUCGAUAUUGAGCCACAAAAGCGCAUAAAAAAGGGGCGAGUGUGAAAAGUGCGAGGGAAGUGGCCAAUUUUUAGUUAUUGCAAGCGAUCGGCCAAGUGUGAAAAUAGUUUUUAGCCAAGUUUUUCUCAUUCAUGAAACAAUAGAAACGAAAAAUGUUGGGAAAAUAAAGACUAUUUCAAUAUUUUUCCCUCUUGAAUGUAUGACUAGGACUAGUACUCUUAGAAAAAGCUUCUAAAAACAAGCUUUCUAACUCGUUCGAAUUAACUUUUCCCUGUAAAGCACUCUUACUUAGAGAUAAAGUAAGCUGUCUUAAUCAGUCUGGCUUACUACCAAGAAACGAUAGUAUGUCGGUUACUGACACUGUUACUGGCAGCUUUUAACUUGGCCUAAAGGCAACUUGGCCUGUCAAAAGUUUUUGGGGCAGAGCGUCAAUGCUAUCGUCAUUUUGCUUUGACUGCGCACAUGAUUAUUACACGCGCUCACCCACGCCCACCCCCAUCAGAUCCAGACCCACAGCCCACACCUAGCACACAUCCACACCCACACCCACACACUGAUAGACAGACACAUGCAAACUUUGAACCGAAAAACUUGCCGCAAAAAGUUUUUAAGUAAACGGAGAGGAGGAAGCCGCAAAGGCUAAAACACAUCCUGAUUAUGGCAGACAAAAAGGAUGACACUGGAAGCCAUGUGGAGGGAUGUCCUUGUCUCUUGAAAGGCAAGUGCACUUGCAAGGCCCCCAAGAAGGACAGGGUGGUCUUGAAUCCCUAAGAGUACGAUCGCUUGAUGGCCACCAAUGAGGGUCUUGCCAAUUUGAAGAGAAUGAUGCGGCUGGAAGCCGGUCUAGGUGAACCCGACGAUGUAAUCAUCAUCGAGGGCUCCGAUCUUGAAUACUAAACUAUAUGCUGCGAAACCCAAGACACACCACAAAUAGUAUAUGAUCUUCUACCUUUAAUAAUAGUUUUUACAAUGAAAUACUGGUACCUCGAUUACUAAACAAGUUGCUGCCAAAAACACGAUAAAUAGGAAUGAAGUGCUUCAAAAUUUUCAAGUUCAAAGCACACCACGAGUAGGUAUUGAUCUUCUGCCUUCAAAAAUACUUUUUACAAUGAAAGACUGGUAACUCUAUUUCUAAACUACUUACUGCCAUAAAGAUGAAUAGGAAUCGGUGUAUCCUUUAUCUUAAAACACUGUAUCUACAGUGAAACACAAGUAUCCGGUUCUUGCAAGCUCACGAUGAAUAGCUAUGGAUCUUCCGCCUUCAAAAACUGUUUCUAUAUGGAGACACUAGUAUACAUACUAUAUUUUGUAAGCAUGUUUUGGACUGCUGCUUGAAAAUAAAGCUCUUGUGACAAAGGAGAAAGACUACACUA